Molecule: small RNA, 79 nt
Filed under: Rhizobium leguminosarum bv. trifolii WSM2297
Lineage: Bacteria; Pseudomonadati; Pseudomonadota; Alphaproteobacteria; Hyphomicrobiales; Rhizobiaceae
Description: suhB
Rfam family: Alphaproteobacterial ar15 (bases 1-70)
Source: RNAcentral
AGCUGUUCCCCUCUGGAGGUUUUUGACCUUCACACUUAUAAGGGCCCUGGUUUUCCAGUGGCCCUCUUUUUUUGCCUUG